UUUGCUUUUUAGGUCCGCAUCCACAGCAUAUGGAAGUUCCUAGGCUAAGGAUUAAAUGGGAGCUACAGCUGCCGGCCUACACCACAGCCACAGCAAUGCAGGAUCCAAGCCACAUCUGCGUCCUAUACCACAGCUCACGGCAACACUGGAUCCUUAACCCACUGAGCAAGGACAGGGAUCAAACCACAACCUUAUGGAUCCUAGUUGGGUUCGUUAAACACCGGGCCAUGAAGAGAACUCCUCAAUUUUUAAAAUAUGUUUUAUUCUGGAGAUCCUGUUGUGGUUCCAGUGCGUUAAGAAUCUGACUAGUAUCCAUGAGGAUGCAGGUUCGAUCCGUGACCUCACUUAGUGGGUUAAGGAUCUGGUGUUGCCAUGAGCUGUGGUGUAGAUCACCAAUGUGGCUCAGACCCCUCGUUGCUGUGGCUAUGGCAUAGUCCAGCGAUUAAAGCUCUGAUUCAACCCCUACCCUACCCUGGAAACUUCUGUAUACCGCAGGUGCGGCCCUAAAACAAAUGUUUUAUUCUUAUGAUAUCUUGUGAAAUAAAUUAAAAAUUGGAAGAAAAAAAAGUUGAAGUAACUCCAGGAAUUUCAUAAGCUUCAACUUCAAAGGCGUCUUGUUUAAUCCAUGGGGGAAAUUACUUCACCUCUGAAGACUGAUACAUUCUCAGGAUUCCAGACACUGGGGAAUUUCAGUGCUGGGUGACCUUCUCAGGGCAGGCCUGGAGUUUGGUAUUCAGCCCCUACUGUUCCUCAAUGUCUGAAAAAAAUAUAGGGUUGGGUGAAGGGCAGACAGAUAAUUGUCAAAGUGUAAUCUAUCUGUCAUGCUGAUACAAUUGGAACAUGUGGACCAAAGUCAAAAGCAGGGCCAGAUACAAAGUUAAAAAGAGGCUCAAGUCUCCAGGUAUCUUGUCCCAGCAAGACCAGGUUUCCUUUCAUUAAUUAUACUUGAAAUUAUAACAUAUCUUCAUUAGAUUCUUUCUCGGGAAAGUAAUAUAUGUAGACAUACAUAAAGUGCAAAGCAGCCGCAGUAACACAUACAAAAAAAAAAAAAAGAGAGAUGUUCAAAAUAGUCUAAAAUAACCAACAGCAAAAAAAACAACCCAAAUGAAAAAUGGACAAAAGACCUGAAUAGACAUUUCUCCAAAGAAGACAUAUGGAUGGCCAACAGGCACAUGAAAAGAUGCUCAGUAUCACUAAUGAUUAGAGAAAUAUAAGUCAAAACGACAACCACCUCACACCGGUCAGAAUGGCCAUCAUUAGUAAGUCCGCAAAUAAAACAAAUGCUGCAGAAGGUGUGGAGAAAAGGAAGCCCUCCUACACAGUUGGUGGGAAUGUAAAUUGGUACAGCCUCUACAGAAAACAGUAUGGAGGUACCUCAGAAAACUAAAUAUAGAACUAUCAUAUGAUCCAGCAAUCCCACUCCUGGUCAUCUAUCCAGACAAAACUCAAAUUGGAAAAUAUACAUGCACCCCUGUGUUCAUUGCAGCACUAUUCACAAUAGCCAAGACAUGGAAACAACCUAAAUGUCCAUCAACAGAUUAAUGGAUUAAGAAGAUGUGAUACAUAUACAUGGUGGAAUACUACUUAGCCAUAAAAAAGAACAAAAUAAUGCCAUUUGCAGCAACAUGGAUGAAACUAGAGAUUCUUACUUCAUACUAAGUGAAGUAAGUCAGAAAGAGAAAGACAAAUACCAUAUGAUAUCACUUAUAUAUGGAAUCUAAUAUAUGGUGCAAAUGAACCUAUCUACAAAUAAGAAACAAACUCAUGAACAUGGAGAACAGACAUGGUUGCCAAGGUGGAGGGAGUGGGAUGGACUGGGAGUUUGGUGUUGGUAGAUGCAAACAUUUGGAGUGGAUAAGCAAUGAGGUCCUGUCGUGUAGCACAGGGAACUCUAUCCAGUCAUUUGUGAUGGAACAUGAUGGAGGAUAAUAUGAGAUAAUAUACACACACACACACAUAUAUAUACAUACACAUACAUAUAUAUAUAUAUGACUGGAUCAUUUUGCUGUACAGCAGAAAUUGACAGAACAUUGUAAAUCAACUAUAAUAAAAAUUUUAAUCAAAUCAAAUGCAAAACAAAAUUACUUUCUAUAACCACGUGAGCAUGUGAAAUGUGAGUAUAUUCCGUUUAUAAAUUGUGGUUGACAUCCAGUCAGUAGAUCUUUAAGCAACUCUUGAGGGUUUCUGCCACACUGUAAAUAUUUUUUUGCAGUAAUCUGGCUUAAGGUUGUCCACCUCUACGGGGACUCAACCCUCCCAAGUUAUGUAAAAAUAUGGAAGGAAAGUGGGGAAGCGGGAUGGCCAUCCCCAGAUAUGGCUCAGGGCAGCAAAAUUUGGUGGAACAAAGCGGUCAGGGCAGAAAACACUUAUCGGCAGACCCUCGUUCCUUCACAAAAGCUAAGAAAACCUGAAAAACCAAAUGAGCAACAAAUGACGAUCCCUCAAAAAGUACUGUUUUGUGUUGCAAAACACAUGGCAGCUUCAAAAAAAAGAGGAAGUACACGACGAACAUGGCAGGAGGCCAUAACUCAUGGCAAAGCUGAGGAGGAAAGCAAGACAUUUCUUACAAAAAUAAGCACUGAACUGCAACACCAUAAAAUAGAUCAUAGCACCAAUAAAGUAGAAUUCUACAAAACCUCACAAAUUUGGACUCUGGAAAAAAAAGGUGCGGAAUUAUAGAAUACUGUAAAUGCUAUGGGAUUUUUUUUUUGGGGGGGGGGCUUUUUAGGGCCACACUUGCCGCAUAUGAAGUCCCCAGGCUAGGGGUUGAAUCGGAGCUGCAGCUUACAGGCCUACACCACAGCUCACAGCAACGCCAGAUUUUUAACCCACUGAGCAAGGGCAGGGAUCGAACCCACAUCCUCAUGGAUCCUAGUCAGGUUCAUUAACCACUGAGCCACAAAGGGAACUCC
This 2912-nucleotide long non-coding RNA is filed under the name Sus scrofa (pig). RNAcentral describes it as "lncRNA (ENSSSCG00015030745.1)". The record is from RNAcentral. Lineage: Eukaryota; Metazoa; Chordata; Mammalia; Artiodactyla; Suidae.